This 210-nucleotide long non-coding RNA is filed under the name Penaeus japonicus. RNAcentral describes it as "uncharacterized LOC122263220". Lineage: Eukaryota; Metazoa; Arthropoda; Malacostraca; Decapoda; Penaeidae. The record is from RNAcentral.
UGCCUCAACCCGCUUGUCCUGGGCUUUGUCCUGGUAGCAACGGCUUGGCUGACUCCUCAAAUCUGAUUGCAAAUCAGGCUUCCGUCAGCCCAGUCAUCUCGGUUGAUAAGAGUUGAGAGAAUUUUUCGACCUGAGUGAGCUACCAGUACAGUGAAAUAUAUUCUGGCUUCGUUGUCUUGGUUUUAAUAAAGAAUGAAAUUUAUUCGAAAA